AGACCCGUGUAUCAAAAACAACAUGUUCACAUCACAAGUAUACCACCAACCAGAGUUGAUUCCAGAAACAAAGAAGAUUAUACCUACCAAACUUCAACCAAUGUCAGAUACCUAGCAAACUUCAACCAAUGUCAGAUUCAAUACACCUAAAACUAGUAAGGUUCAAUAGACCACAAACUUGUCUGAUUCAAUACAUUUUUCACUUAACAUAUUUCAAUACAAAGAAAACAGAUUCAUUAAACAUAUUUCACAACAGAUUCAUUACAAAGAAGCAAGACCAGAGUCAUUACAAAUAAAACAGAAACUGAAUGCAUUACACAUAAGUACUUAGAUUAGAUAUUAAACAAGACAAGUAAUUAUACAUGGUUCAUUAAACCUAAUUUAGCUAAUUAGAAAAGCUCUGCCAUGAGCUUUUUCUUCAAAGCAAGUUCAUCUUCAUCCAAUGGCUGAGUCUNNNNNNNNNNCAAUUAGAGUGUCAAGAAUUGCCAGCUUUUGGAGUUUUAACUUGGUCUCGUUAUCCUUCUCUUUGUUCUCCCACAACUGAGGAUAGUCUUUGGCAGGUGGAGCUUUAUCUUUUCCCUUAAACCUCUUACCUUUCANNNNNNNNNNNNNNNNNNNNNNNNNNNNNNCUGUUUCAUUUGCAAUCGAACCACAAGAUGCUGGAGCAUCCUCACCUCUCAUUCUCUUGCUACUUGUGUUGCUACUAGGGUUCAUAACACCUAGACUACACCAUUUCUGUUCCUGUCUCAACUCAACCCAUGCAUGCUCGAGACCAAACUUCUUCUUGUAAAGUGACAUGUAGAUNNNNNNNNNNUCGAGACCAAACUUCUUCUUGUAAAGUGACAUGUAGAUUGUAUGAGCAUUUCUGAGGACGUCUACAUCAUUCAUGCCACUAGAUUUCUCAGCCUCAGCACUAACAUAAGCUCCACAGAAGUGGCUGACCUCUUUGCUUAUUCUACCCCAUCUCUGCUUGCAAUGAUCUGGCAGGCGUCGUUCUGCACCAUUCUUCACAUGUUGACUAGNNNNNNNNNNCAAUGAUCUGGCAGGCGUCGUUCUGCACCAUUCUUCACAUGUUGACUAGCUCCAUAAUACUCAGAAAUCCUUUGCCAAAAGGUGCCUGACCUUUGGUCAUUGCCCACAAUCACANNNNNNNNNNUUGCCCACAAUCACAUCCUUUGAUGUGUUAAGCCACCCACUAAUCAACACUAGGUCAUCUGAUGAGUUCCAUUGCCUUCUCUCCCUAUUAGCAUUUGGGGUGGCUUGAGAAGGNNNNNNNNNNAGUUCCAUUGCCUUCUCUCCCUAUUAGCAUUUGGGGUGGCUUGAGAAGGGGUUUGGCUGCGAGUAGGGUUUUGGCUGGGAGAAGGGUUUUGGCUUCCAGAAGGGUUUUGGCUUCCAGAAGGGUUUUGGCUUCCUUGAGAUGGUUGUUGGCUAAAAGGUGGGAAUUNNNNNNNNNNUGGGAGGAGUAGAGCCAAAGUUGACAUUUUGGGAGAAGCUGUCAUAAGGAAAAUUGUUUAAACUAAAGUACCCAGGUGAACCCCCAUACGGAUUGUUUGAAUCCAUUGUGAAAGUUUAGUUUAAAAAGAAGCAAAAAGAAAGUUGAAAGAAGUAGCAAAACAGAUGUGCAAAGAACAAGGAAAACAGAAGGUCAAGCAAGGCACCAAAACUGAAUGUCAAAGAAGAAGAAAACAGAAGGAGGAAAGCAGAAGCAAAACAGAAGUCUCAAAGUCGACGAAGAGCAUAUGUAUAGCAAAACAGAUGGUCAAAGAACAAGGAAAACAGAAGGUCACAGUAGAAGCAAACAGAAGGAUCAAAGAAGAAGCCAAAAAUAGAAGGAUCAAAGAAGAAGCCAAAAAUAGAAGGAUGAAAGGUAAAAGAAGAAGCAAAACAGAUGGAAAAGAAGCAAAAUAGAAGGAUGAAAGAAGAAGGUAGAUGGAAGGAGUUAAUUUCUACAAAGUUCAUAAAGAGACUUUGUAGAGUUAUUACAGAAAGUUAAAGCAAUGUAUUACCUACUUCUAUCAAAUCACCAUUCAAAUAUUAAUGUAGCAAAUAGUGCUCAACCAUAAUACAAUGGUUUCUAAUUAUUAACAGUGAAGAAUAAAGGAGAUAGUUAAGUUUUAAGUGUAAAUUUUAAGUUCUUCUAACUAGAUCAAUUCAAAACAAUACAAUGACUUAUGUCAGAACAAUAUAUAUAACACAAAUUCUUAGUUCACUAACCACCAGUCNNNNNNNNNNUGGAUCUUCUAUAUAUAAGACAAUUUAUGCAAGCAUAGUUCAAUUUAAGGUUUCAAUGCUAUUAUAUAAACAAAUCUCAUAAAGCUCCACAGACGGUUUACUUGAAACCAAUGAUAAACAAAGCUCAGACAAAUGACCUAAGGAUUAAGAUCAAUAUACAACAACAAUUUAUCAAAAGACACCAAAAAGCAAUACAUACUUCAACUCACAACUCUAAACAAGUUCAUCAGGCUACCAUUCAAGAUCAUGAUAUACAUUACCUAUGAACUAAAACGAUUGAGUGACAUACCUCUUAAGGGAGGAGUCAAAUGUGCUGUAUGAAUCCGCUUGACUUUUCCAGGCUAUCCUAAACUUCGAUCCUCAGAAACAAAGAAAAGAAAUAAUAGUUAACCAUCAUGUAAACACUUGUAUCAAAUGCAUUAAGGUUAAUCAGAUCCUUUCUUAAACAUAUAUUUCAUAUAGUUAACUCAGUAAAUCUACAUAGAGUUGGAAAUAUAACUCAGAUAGUUAACUCAGUAAACCAACAUUCUCCUCAGAACCUCUCCUAAACAACAUAUCAACAUACCGAGAAAAUAUACAAAUCAUGCAAAUCCUCUAUCAUACCACUUCUAAAGAACAGAUCACAACUUAAUGUUACAAUACAACAGAUAAUUCCAAUGCCAUCUAAUUAUACCGUAACCUAAAUAUCACAAAAAGACAGAUGAUGUUUACACUCGAGUUUAAACAAUAAAUCAAACGAUAUAAACCUUAAUUCUGAUAAGCUUUUACAAUAACCAACUAGAGAGAACCAAAUAUCCAACGCUAGUUAAUUGUGAAUCAACAAUAGUAAACUGAUCAGACACGGUGAAUUCAACCAAAGAAGAAAGUGAACAAAAUAAGAACAAGNNNNNNNNNNAGACACGGUGAAUUCAACCAAAGAAGAAAGUGAACAAAAUAAGAACAAGACUGAGAAAAGACUUCUACCUGACUAGGAUGGACAAACACGGAGAAACUAGG
RNAcentral lists this long non-coding RNA (3228 nucleotides) under Capsella grandiflora. RNAcentral describes it as "long non-coding RNA (CGRA_LNC001776)". Lineage: Eukaryota; Viridiplantae; Streptophyta; Magnoliopsida; Brassicales; Brassicaceae. The record is from RNAcentral.